RNAcentral lists this transfer-messenger RNA (342 nucleotides) under Roseomonas sp. CECT 9278. RNAcentral's name for it is "transfer-messenger RNA, SsrA". The stretch from base 2 to 301 matches the Rfam family "Alphaproteobacteria transfer-messenger RNA". From Rfam's summary of the family: Bacterial tmRNA, also known as 10Sa RNA or SsrA, is named for its dual tRNA and mRNA-like properties. Its role is to liberate the mRNA from a stalled ribosome. To accomplish this part of the tmRNA is used as a reading frame that ends in a translation stop signal. The record is from RNAcentral. Lineage: Bacteria; Pseudomonadati; Pseudomonadota; Alphaproteobacteria; Acetobacterales; Roseomonadaceae.
GCCUAUAUCCGUCGUGUCACCUCGGUGACUAUGGCGAUAAACGGCGUAUGGAAUAAGCGUUGCGGACCCGGGGGCGGUACCCGGCGCCUCCACCAAUCACCCGGCCAGUAUCGUGGCCGGCGGAGGGGGGCGAAACAGGCUCGACGCGCGCGGUAAAGAUCCGUCUUUUGCCCGGCAUGGUACCGCCGUCAUCGGACCAAAUCACAAGUGCCAACGAUAACGGUCGCGAGACCGUGGCGCUCGCUGCCUAGAGAUAGGUAAGCGCGGUUCGGGGGGCACCGGGCAACAGAAGCCCCCCACUUCCCUUGGCAUUCGCCCGAUCCAUGCGUAGAUGGCCCCCAU